RNAcentral lists this ribosomal RNA (467 nucleotides) under uncultured bacterium. RNAcentral's name for it is "partial 16S ribosomal RNA". It matches the Rfam family "Bacterial small subunit ribosomal RNA", at positions 28 to 507 of the family's 1533-position model. The record is from RNAcentral.
GAUGAACGCUGGCGGCGUGCUUAACACAUGCAAGUCGAACGGAAAGGCCCAAGCUUGCUUGGGUACUCGAGUGGCGAACGGGUGAGUAACACGUGGGUGAUCUGCCCUGCACUUCGGGAUAAGCCUGGGAAACUGGGUCUAAUACCGGAUAGGACCACUUCUUGGAUGUUGUGGUGGAAAGUUUUUUCGGUGUUGGAUGAGCUCGCGGCCUAUCAGCUUGUUGGUGGGGUAAUGGCCUACCAAGGCGUCGACGGGUAGCCGGCCUGAGAGGGUGUACGGCCACAUUGGGACUGGGAUGCGGACCAGACUCCUACGGGAGGCAGCAGUGGGGAAUAUUGCAAAAUGGGCGCGAGCCUGAUGCAGCGACGCCGCGUGGGGGAUGACGGCCUUCGGGUUGUAAACUCCUUUCGCUAGGGACGAAGCGUUUUGUGACGGUACCUGGAGAAGAAGCACCGGCUAACUACGUG